UACGAACUGUGCGAACGUUAUUCGGAAUCACUGGGCUUACAGGGUGCGUAGGCGGCUUGUUAAGUAGGGUGUGAAAUCCCCCGGCUCAACCGGGGAAUUGCGCCCUAAACUGGCGAGCUGGAGUGAGAUAGGGGUGUGCGGAACUUCCGGUGGAGCGGUGAAAUGUGUUGAUAUCGGAAGGAACGCCGGUGGCGAAAGCGGCACACUGGAUCUCAACUGACGCUGAGGCACGAAAGCCAGGGGAGCGAACGGG
This 253-nucleotide ribosomal RNA is filed under the name uncultured bacterium. Its description in RNAcentral is "partial 16S ribosomal RNA". It matches the Rfam family "Bacterial small subunit ribosomal RNA", at positions 524 to 776 of the family's 1533-position model. The record is from RNAcentral.